CCCAAAGUUAUCUCAUUGUUUCUUUUCUGUUUUCUUCUAGGAACACUGGAGCCAGAAAAAGAUAAAGUCCGAAUAUCAGAACAGGUUCCUGCAGGUAUGAUGACUUUUACUGUAUUCUCUGACAAUGAAGUAACUGAAAAUGACUGAUAUCUUGAUUUCCAUGGGUUAUCUACAAUCAACUAUUAAAAAUACAUUAAAUGUGCUGCUGAGGAUGUAGACCAGCCAGAGCCUGAAGACCAGGACCAGCAUGGACCUCUUCUCCAGGAGGCAGCACCACACCAUGGCAGCCAGGUUCACCAUCCUGGUUGAGAUGGGGGUGCUACAGCCCGAGAGUGGAGCAACACCAGAGGCUGAGACCCAGUAGCAUGGCCCCUUCAUGCCCAGCAGCCCCUGCAGUCUGCAGCCCAGCUUGUAAGUUAAAAUAUUGAAACAUUAAUUACUAAUUAUAAAUUCAAGU
This is a long non-coding RNA of Sciurus carolinensis (gray squirrel), 457 nucleotides long. RefSeq lists it as uncharacterized. NCBI's taxonomy places the organism in Eukaryota, Metazoa, Chordata, Mammalia, Rodentia, Sciuridae. The record is from RefSeq and is a predicted model, not a curated record. The transcript is spliced from 3 exons.